This 253-nucleotide ribosomal RNA is filed under the name uncultured bacterium. RNAcentral describes it as "partial 16S ribosomal RNA". It matches the Rfam family "Bacterial small subunit ribosomal RNA", at positions 524 to 776 of the family's 1533-position model. The record is from RNAcentral.
UACGAAGGGGGCUAGCGUUGUCCGGAAUCACUGGGCGUAAAGGGCGCGUAGGUGGCGUCGUAAGUCUGUGGUGAAAGCCCGGAGCUCAACUCCGGGUCUGCCGCGGAUACUGCGAGGCUUGAGUGCUGUAGAGGGGGGUAGAAUGCCGGGUGUAGCGGUGGAAUGCGUAGAGAUCCGGCAGAAGACCGGCGGCGAAGGCGGCCCCCUGGGCAGUAACUGACACUGAGGCGCGACAGCUAGGGGAGCAAACAGG